AUCCUUCUGGGUUUAAUACAUAUGAUGAUUGGUCUGUUCACGUGGUUUCGUGAAAUGUGCUGCCUUCCAUUCUUGUUACGAUUUGCACAUUGACCGUCUGAUC
This is a small nucleolar RNA of Triplophysa rosa, 103 nucleotides long. RefSeq annotates it as small nucleolar RNA U13. The transcript has a single exon. The record is from RefSeq and is a predicted model, not a curated record. NCBI's taxonomy places the organism in Eukaryota, Metazoa, Chordata, Actinopteri, Cypriniformes, Nemacheilidae.